This 71-nucleotide transfer RNA is filed under the name Hypoxylon sp. CI-4A. It matches the Rfam family "tRNA". Rfam says of the family: Transfer RNA (tRNA) molecules are approximately 80 nucleotides in length. Lineage: Eukaryota; Fungi; Ascomycota; Sordariomycetes; Xylariales; Hypoxylaceae. The record is from Rfam by way of RNAcentral.
GCAUCAGUAGUUUAGUGGUAAAAUCCAUCGUUGCCAUCGAUGGGCCCCGCGUUCGAUUCGCGGCUGAUGCA